This 77-nucleotide non-coding RNA is filed under the name Albidovulum aquaemixtae. Its description in RNAcentral is "Defluviimonas aquaemixtae Alpha-proteobacteria SAM riboswitch aptamer". It matches the Rfam family "Alpha-proteobacteria SAM riboswitch aptamer". From Rfam's summary of the family: This family is a riboswitch found predominantly in alpha-proteobacteria that binds S-adenosyl methionine (SAM). This SAM riboswitch is located upstream of the metA and metC genes in Agrobacterium tumefaciens, and other methionine and SAM biosynthesis genes in other alpha-proteobacteria. Like the other SAM riboswitch, it probably functions to turn off expression of these genes in response to elevated SAM levels. Lineage: Bacteria; Pseudomonadati; Pseudomonadota; Alphaproteobacteria; Rhodobacterales; Paracoccaceae. The record is from Rfam by way of RNAcentral.
CGAAAAGGCCGUGGCGAUUUGUACCGGAUUGCGGGCCACGUAAAACAUGCCGCUAAAGAGGUAGGUGGCCCAAAAUG